Molecule: ribosomal RNA, 253 nt
Filed under: uncultured bacterium
Lineage: Bacteria
Description: partial 16S ribosomal RNA
Rfam family: Bacterial small subunit ribosomal RNA
Source: RNAcentral
GACGUAGGGCGCGAGCGUUGUCCGGAUUUAUUGGGCGUAAAGAGCUCGUAGGCGGCUUGUCGCGUCGACUGUGAAAUCCCGCGGCUCAACUGCGGGUCUGCAGUCGAUACGGGCAGGCUAGAGUUCGGUAGGGGAGACUGGAAUUCCUGGUGUAGCGGUGAAAUGCGCAGAUAUCAGGAGGAACACCGGUGGCGAAGGCGGAUCUCUGGGCCUUGCCUGACGCUGAGGCGCGAAAGCUAGGGGAGCGAACAGG